GCAGAACGCGAAGAACCUUACCAGCCCUUGACAUCCCGGUCGCGGGAUCGAGAGAUCGAUCCUUUCAGUUCGGCUGGACCGGUGACAGGUGCUGCAUGGCUGUCGUCAGCUCGUGUCGUGAGAUGUUGGGUUAAGUCCCGCAACGAGCGCAACCCUCGCCCUUAGUUGCCAUCAUUCAGUUGGGCACUCUAAGGGGACUGCCGGUGAUAGCCGAGAGGAGGUGGGAUGACGUCAAGUCCUCAUCGGCCCGUUACGGGCGUGGGCUACACACGUGCUACAAUGGUGGUGACAGUGGCAGCGAGACCGCGAGGUCGAGCUAAUCUACCAAAAGCCAUCUCAGUUCGGAUUGCACUCUGCAACUCGAGUGCAUGAAGUUGGAAUCGCUAGUAAUCGUGGAUCAGCAUGCCACGGUGAAUA
RNAcentral lists this ribosomal RNA (417 nucleotides) under uncultured bacterium. Its description in RNAcentral is "bacterial SSU rRNA". It matches the Rfam family "Bacterial small subunit ribosomal RNA", at positions 954 to 1368 of the family's 1533-position model. The record is from RNAcentral.